UUUUUUUUUUUUUUCCCCUUUUCUCUUUUUCCCUCCCUUUCCUCCCUCUCCCCGCAGCCGGGACUGGAGUCUCCUCAGCGUAACUCCGGUGCUUUCGCAGCCGCAGUCAAAGAUACAUUAUCCAUGUUAAGUUAUUAUUUGUACGAUUCUGAGAGGCACUUUGCAGUUCCCAGUAACAGGAGUAUGAACUAUGGCAAUGCAUUGUCUCCCUCCUGAUCUUGGAUUACAGUCCACACUGAAAAAAAAAUUAAAGUGAUUUAAAGUUUAAGUGGA
This is a long non-coding RNA of Corvus hawaiiensis (hawaiian crow), 273 nucleotides long. RefSeq lists it as uncharacterized. Lineage: Eukaryota; Metazoa; Chordata; Aves; Passeriformes; Corvidae. The record is from RefSeq and is a predicted model, not a curated record. The transcript is spliced from 3 exons.